This 478-nucleotide ribosomal RNA is filed under the name uncultured organism. RNAcentral describes it as "partial 16S ribosomal RNA". It matches the Rfam family "Bacterial small subunit ribosomal RNA", at positions 330 to 799 of the family's 1533-position model. The record is from RNAcentral.
CGUACACUCCUGCGGGAGGCAGCAGUGGGGAAUAUUGCACAAUGGGCGCAAGCCUGAUGCAGCCAUGCCGCGUGUAUGAAGAAGGCCUUCGGGUUGUAAAGUACUUUCAGCGGGGAGGAAGGCGAUAAGGUUAAUAACCUUGUCGAUUGACGUUACCCGCAGAAGAAGCACCGGCUAACUCCGUGCCAGCAGCCGCGGUAAUACGGAGGGUGCAAGCGUUAAUCGGAAUUACUGGGCGUAAAGCGCACGCAGGCGGUCCGUCAAGUCGGAUGUGAAAUCCCCGGGCUCAACCUGGGAACUGCAUUCGAAACUGGCAGGCUAGAGUCUUGUAGAGGGGGGUAGAAUUCCAGGUGUAGCGGUGAAAUGCGUAGAGAUCUGGAGGAAUACCGGUGGCGAAGGCGGCCCCCUGGACAAAGACUGACGCUCAGGUGCGAAAGCGUGGGGAGCAAACAGGAUUAGAAACCCCGGUAGUCCCAUG